RNAcentral lists this long non-coding RNA (2198 nucleotides) under Solanum tuberosum (potato). RNAcentral's name for it is "long non-coding RNA (STUB_LNC010874)". The record is from RNAcentral. Lineage: Eukaryota; Viridiplantae; Streptophyta; Magnoliopsida; Solanales; Solanaceae.
AAACAGCUAUUGUCCACUUAGAUGCUUCUCAAAAGAUUCCAUAUCCUGGCACAGGACAAAUCCCUCAAGCUAUGGCGUGUUGUGAAGUUGAGCUACAUAGCAAUGCUAUCAAAUCCGACGAAUCACAAGCCAGUGGCGAUGUUGCUAGCUGUGAAGUUGCCACGACAAAGGAAGUUCUUAGUGAGGAUCAACAAACAAUGAAGGUUAAGUCAGCUGCAUCUCAGACACCUUCAGUUCACUCUGUUGGGAAAAUGCCUGAAGAUAUAGGUUGUGAGGUUGCCACGACAAAGGAAGUUCUCACUGAGGAUCAACAAACAAUGAAGGUUCAGUCAGCUGCAUCUCAGACACCUUCAGUUCACUCUGUUGGGAAAAUGCCUGAAGAUAUAGGUUGUGAGGUUGCCACGACAAAGGAAGUUCUCACUGAGGAUCAACAAACAAUGAAGGUUCAGUCAGCUGCAUCUCAGACACCUUCAGUUCACUCUGUUGGGAAAAUGCCUGAAGAUAUAGGUUGUGAGGUUGCCACGACAAAGGAAGUUCUCACUGAGGAUCAACAAACAAUGAAGGUUCAGUCAGCUGCAUCUCAGACACCUUCAGUUCACUCUGUUGGGAAAAUGCCUGAAGAUAUAGGUUGUGAGGUUGCCACGACAAAGGAAGUUCUCACUGAGGAUCAACAAACAAUGAAGGUUCAGUCAGCUGCAUCUCAGACACCUUCAGUUCACUCUGUUGGGAAAAUGCCUGAAGAUAUAGGUUGUGAGGUUGCCACGACAAAGGAAGUUCUCACUGAGGAUCAACAAACAAUGAAGGUUCAGUCAGCUGCAUCUCAGACACCUUCAGUUCACUCUGUUGGGAAGAUGCCUGAAGAUAUAGUGAGUAAUGAAGUUCUGCCACAGUGUGAUGCUAUACAAACAGAUGCAUCUCAAUCCCAUGUCACUCUUGCCUCUUCAGGAUCAAUGGCUCCAGUUACUGAUUGCCUGGUUGAAAAGAGUGAAGGUAAUUCUAAGGGUGACGAUGGUGAAAAGACUGAAACUAAUUCUAUAGAUGGGUCAAACAUGGAAGUUCCCAUUGGAGCUUUGGAGCUUACAUCAUCUGACGAUCUGAACAAGAGUGGAGAUGCAGAAGGGAAAACUAGCAGCAGUUUAAGCGGGGUCCUUCCCACAAGUUCUGAGUUAGUUCCCCAUCCAAGCACAGAGACAGAGGUAUAUCUGGGUUCCGUAGGCUCCGGGAAAGUAAGUUUUAGUUCGGGAUCAACUCAAAGCCUGUCUGAGAGUGUGUCUGCAAAAACUGAUGUUGAACAGUUACAGACUGAGGAUCUUCCUCUGGAUAAAUCAUUUGUUUCUAAAGCUGAGGCAGCCAGCUCUGAGCAUCUCGCUGGUGGCAUACUUGGAACAGAACAGGAAACCGGAGGCACCAUGGAGGAGACUGUUGUUUCACCUGCUGUGGAGACUGACAAUCUGAAUAUGAAGGGAAUCGCAUCAUUUGCUUCUCCAUCUACUGAGGCAGAAUCUUUAGUGGAUGAACCUCCAGUAUGUGGAUCUUAUGAACCAGCCAAGGACAAACUUGAAAAAACAGCAGAAGGAACACAUUCCGAUAAAGGUGCAAUGGCCGAGGUUUGUGAACAAGAUAAGUUAUCAGUUAACGUGUCAUUGGAGACAACUAAAGGUUUAAGUAGGGGGGAGAAAGAAAAAUAUAGGAUUCCAGAAACUUUUGAGAAGCAAGUUAAUGUUGCUGAAUCCCUAACAGAAGAAUGUGGAAAAGAUCUUGCAGCACAUGGUCCAGAAAUGAAAGAUUCUGAUGUAAGUGAGGUUGCACCAAGCCCUAGAAAUGAGUCCCAAUCCAGUUUUACUGUUGGAACAUCUCAAAGAACUUUUGAGGAGCAAGUUAAUGUUGCUGAAUCCCUAACAGAAGAAUGUGGAAGUGAUCUUGCAGCACACAGUCCCGAAAUGAAAGAUUCUGAUGUAAGUGAGGUUGCGCCAAGCCCUAGAAAUGAGUCCCAAUCCAGUUUCACUGUUGGAACAUCUCAAAGUGAACCUGAACGACAAGCAAUUGCUGAAGCAAACUUGCAUCCCAGUAUUUCCGGUAAGGACUAUUCUUUAUCUAGUUUAGAUAAUGAAUCUGAUAGAGUUUGAAAAACAGAAGCAAAUCUAUUCUGUCACACCUGAGGUUUGUGAAUCUGACAUGACACAUGUUGAUUUUGUAGA